UACGGAGGGUGCGAGCGUUGUCCGGAAUCACUGGGCGUAAAGGGCGCGUAGGCGGCAUGCCAAGCGUGUGGUGAAAGCCCGGGGCUCAACCCCGGGUCGGCCGUGCGGACUGGCGUGCUUGAGCACUGUAGGGGCGGGUGGAAUUCCGGGUGUAGCGGUGGAAUGCGUAGAGAUCCGGAAGAACACCGGUGGCGAAGGCGGCCCGCUGGGCAGGAAGGAAGCGCAAGCUUCCGGCUGACGCUGAGGCGCGACAGCGUGGGGAGCAAACAGG
Molecule: ribosomal RNA, 271 nt
Filed under: uncultured prokaryote
Also listed under: 1 other name
Description: partial 16S ribosomal RNA
Rfam family: Bacterial small subunit ribosomal RNA
Source: RNAcentral